This 442-nucleotide ribosomal RNA is filed under the name uncultured bacterium. RNAcentral's name for it is "partial 16S ribosomal RNA". It matches the Rfam family "Bacterial small subunit ribosomal RNA", at positions 29 to 507 of the family's 1533-position model. The record is from RNAcentral.
AUGAACGCUGGCGGCAUGCCUAACACAUGCAAGUCGAUCGGUAAGGCUCUUCGGAGUACACGAGAGACGGACGGCUGAGUAACGCGUAGGAACACACCCUGCAGUGAGGGAUAAGACACCGAAAGGUGUUCUAAUACCGCAUACGGUCUUCGGAUUAAAGCAUUUAUGCGCUGAAGGAGUGGCCUGCGUCAUAUUAGAUAGUUGGUGAGGUAAUGGCUCACCAAGUCGAUGAUGUGUAGCUGGUCUGAGAGGAUGAUCAGCCAGACUGGAACUGAGACACGGUCCAGACUCCUACGGGAGGCAGCAGUGAGGAAUAUUUCACAAUGAGCGAAAGCUUGAUGGAGCAAUGCCGCGUGCAGGAUGAAGGCCCUCGGGUUGUAAACUGCUUUUAUAAGAGAAGAUUAUGACGGUAACUUAUGAAUAAGGGACGGCUAACUACGUG